GGCGCCUCCCAGCCAUGACGGAGGCGCGGCGUACAGCUCAGUAACACGUGGCUAACCUGCCCUCGGGACGGGAAUACCCCCGGGAAACUGGGGCUAAUCCCCGAUAGGUGAAGAACUCUGGAAUGAUUCUCCGCCCAAAAGACGCUUAAAUCAUGCUUUUAGGCGCCGCCCAAGGAUGGGGCCGCGACCGAUCAGGUAGUUGGUGAGGCAACGGCUCACCAAGCCUUUAACCGGUGCGGGCCGUGGGAGCGGAAGCCCGGAGAUGGGCACUGAGACAAGGGCCCAGGCCCUACGGGGCGCAGCAGUCGCGAAAACUUUGCAAUACACGAAAGUGUGACAGGGCUAUCCCGAGUGCCAUCCGCUGAGGAAGGCUUUUACCCAGUAUAGAAAGCUGGGAGAAUAAGGAGAGGGCAAGCCUGGUGUCAGCCGCCGUGGUAAUACCAGCUCUCCGAGUGGUGUGGAUGUUUAUU
RNAcentral lists this ribosomal RNA (470 nucleotides) under uncultured archaeon. RNAcentral describes it as "bacterial SSU rRNA". It matches the Rfam family "Archaeal small subunit ribosomal RNA", at positions 61 to 505 of the family's 1478-position model. The record is from RNAcentral.